CCUGGUCUGAGGAAGCUGCAUCUGCAUUUGGUUCCUCAGCUGCCAUCACCACAGUUGAGAAAGCCUAGAAAGGGAAAAGCAGCACAGAUUUAUUCAGGUUUAUUCCAGUUUUAUAUCCAGACAGAUAGAUCUGCAUAUAAAACAGUGACCUCUGAGCUGAAGGCCAUCAUUCAGGGGGAAUAAGAUCUUGGAAGGAGAACUCCAGAAGUGUGUCAGUUCAGCAGCAAUCAAAGAGCAAGCAAGGUUACACAUUACCAUGGCAGGAAUAUACAAUGCAAGACAUCAUUCUCUGAACUCCUGUGCCUGCAUUUUAGAUCUCAAAUGGUUCUGGUUCCUGACCCAUUCUCAGAGAAACUACAGAACUGAAAAAAUAUUCUCAAGAUUCCCUGGGAGAAGAAGCCAAUCCCCACCUGGCUCCAGCCUCCUUUCAGACAGCUGUAGAGAGUGGUCAGGACAGUUAACCAAGAGAGCAUGCAGCUUCCAGAGCAACUGCACACCCCCGGAACUCGUCUGCAGCAGCACCUGAGAGAUCCCAGCCUCCCCUGUGGUAGCUGGGCCGAGGCUCUGCAGAGCAGUGGAGGGAGCUGGGAGGGAGCUGCAGCUGCCAGCAGGGAAACCUCAGCUCUGAGGCUGCAGCACACAUGUGGUCCCCAGAGGAAACACCCGGGCUGACAAGCAGGAAGCUGCCCCACAAUGAGCAGCCAGCUGUGGAUCCACCUGUACAGCACAAAGGUGCUGCUCCCAAAAGAACAGAACAGGAGUGGGAGCAACCCAGAACACAGCUGAUGAGGAAUUGCUGCUGCCUGACCCUGCCCCAGGGUAGAGAGAGGACACAGCACACCUUGCUCUGGAAUCAAUGCUGUUAUCCCAAGGACCAAAUCCUUUCCCUGAUGUGGGAGCUGGUAUCCCAAGUUUCAGCUUGCUCAGUUUUCAAGGGAUCAGUGAAACUAGAAUUAUGCUGGGUUUGAUGCAGGCUUUUUUUGGGUUCUCUUCUACCCCCAGCCUGAUAAAUAUGACCCUUGGUUCACACUUUGCUAAAUAACUAACUGGACUCCUGUAAGCAGUGCAUCACAAAUUAAUUAUUCACUGGUACUCUACUGAAGCACUUCUCUGUCCUGGCCUUCUUCUCCACUUUUGGAGAACUUUGCUCUGGUCACAGUGCAGAAAAACACAAACCAUGUAGAAGUCAUAGACAGAAAAUAUUUGACUCACUUGGAUUAAAAUGCUAAGCAAGGUACUCAGCCAAUACUGCUACUGUUAGAAGCUAUGCCAAAACUUCACAAUCUUCUCAGAAAAUGUGGAAAUAUGUUAAAGCAUGUCCAAGUACAAAGUACAGGAUGACAAAGGGCUUUAAAUCUUGUCAACUCAUCAAAGAGAACAGACUACUUAUUAAAGACAUCAGUAGUUACAUUUUCUUGGCUGUCCUAGUCUAUGUGUUUACAGGUUUUCUAAAAAUAUAAAUUACUGAGGUUCAUAUUAGCUUUCUUUAAUGGUAACUUGCUAACUACUGUUCUCACAAAUAAGCUCUGUAAAUGCUUUUAGUAAUAACUCCUGCACACAGCGAAACUGAUAACCCUCAUUCAAAUCGAGGACAGAGCCAGCAAACCCAAUACAAAUCAGAUUUCAAUACAAAUGUAGAUUUCAAAGGCUGAUCUUUAUCAGCCUUUACAGUUCCUGGUAGCGUUAGCUUUGAUCCAAUAGUGCAUUACUCUGAUACAGCCACAACCAAUUUUCUUCAAAAUUAUGAUGCAUUUUUUAGGAAAAAUGUUAGGCAAUAAGAACAAGUUCAAGCAACUUCUAUAAUCAAGUAAAAAGAAAUGUAUGUUCACCCCUUUUCCAAAUCCUAGUGUAUUUCUUUCUUUUGGUCAUCCUUUCAGUUUGACUUAUGAAAGAAGUGGAGAACAGUCUGCUUUUCUCUUACAGAAAAGGACAGGGUUAAGCUGAUCCUUUUCUUGGACUCAGAAAACAUAGGAUAUCAAUGUACAACAAGGAUUAAAAUAAAAUUAUAGAGGAAAGCAAA
Molecule: long non-coding RNA, 2020 nt
Organism: Melospiza melodia melodia
Lineage: Eukaryota; Metazoa; Chordata; Aves; Passeriformes; Passerellidae
Exons: 3
Source: RefSeq, a predicted model, not a curated record